RNAcentral lists this ribosomal RNA (460 nucleotides) under uncultured bacterium. RNAcentral's name for it is "partial 16S ribosomal RNA". It matches the Rfam family "Bacterial small subunit ribosomal RNA", at positions 338 to 795 of the family's 1533-position model. The record is from RNAcentral.
CCUACGGUGGGCAGCAGUGAGGAAUAUUGGUCAAUGGCCGUAAGGCUGAACCAGCCAAGUCGCGUGAAGGAAGAAGGAUCUAUGGUUUGUAAACUUCUUUUAUAGGGGAAUAAAGGUAUCCAAGUGUGGAUAUUUGCAUGUACCCUAUGAAUAAGCAUCGGCUAACUCCGUUCCAGCCGCCGCGGUAAUACGGAGGAUGCGAGCCUUAUCCGGAUUUAUUGGGUUUAAAGGGUGCGUAGGUUGUUUUUUAAGUCAGGGGUGAACGGUUGUGGCUCAACCCUAAAAUUGCCGUUGAAACUGGAAGACUUGAGUGUGUUUGAGGUAGGCGGAAUGCGUGGUGUAGCGGUGAAAUGCAUAGAUAUCACGCAGAACUCCGAUUGCGAAGGCAGCUUACUAAGCCAUAACUGACACUGAAGCACGAAAGCGUGGGGAUCAAACAGGAUUAGAUACCCCUGUAGUC